This is a non-coding RNA of Lactuca sativa (garden lettuce), 1349 nucleotides long. Lineage: Eukaryota; Viridiplantae; Streptophyta; Magnoliopsida; Asterales; Asteraceae. The record is from RefSeq and is a predicted model, not a curated record.
AUUUGUAUGUUGCUAUAUCGCAACAUUAUUAUUAUUAACCACUAUCUGCUUCUUACACCCCUAUUCUCGUCCGACGACAUGGCAGGAUUCCAUUUACCAGGAGACCCAUAUUAUUAUUAACCGCUCCCUUUCUCUAUGUGAACAACGACCGACUAGCAAGAACCACCGGCAUCGCCGCUGCUGCCACUUCGGUUCUCUUGCGCAGCUGCCGCCGUCGAAGGUGUCGCACCUAAAGGCGUCGCCGCUGCAGGUGCUCGACCUCACCCUUGGAGCGGAUUUGAGCUUACUUCUCCAUCUUUUGGUAAAAAAAACCCUAAUUUAGUUUUUGGAAAAAUUCCAAAACGCAAACCACUUCCGACGCUUAUUCUUUAUUGAAAAGCCUCUCUACAAUUGGCGAUCGUCCUUUUUUCUUCUCUUCUCGUCAUACCAGUUACAUUUAAUAGGAGAUUAUUUUUGUAGUGAGGUUCAUUGUGCCAUAAGUAACUUCUAUCUUAAGGAGCAACAUGAUGAAAGGGUUUGCACUCUAAGUACCCUUUCCUGGACAUGUAACUGAACUUUUCACUACUGGUAACCGGAAAAGCUGGCACUGUGAAUCGCUCCUGAUCUCGCAUCCUUCUCAUCCUCAUCAUCAAAUAUAGCCCUAGAAAGCUUUUAUUUCCAUUCCCAUGAAACAAACCUGGAUCCUUUUCAGGGGUAUAACAGACCAUACGUAUCAUGAAGUGAGUAAAUUGUAGAUUAGUUGGUCACUUGGUUCUAACUAAGUGCACUGUCAUACAUAAAGUUAACAGCUGGCUUGUUUUUGUUAUUGCAGGUUGCAGACUUUCAAAUAGUCUUGUUUCUUUUAUUCAUGUACAUCUCAUAUGCAUUCAGUUAUAAAUUUUGGUUCUUUUUAUUAAUAAUUUGCCUUUUUAAUUGUUAAAAGAUUGACCAGUCAUGGCAGAGACUGGCUGGAGGAAGCCCUGACUGCACAACUACAACCACAAGACCAUGAACUGAGUUCUUCUUCUCCAUACUUGGGCCUUCCUCUUAUGAGAGUUGUUAAUAUCUCUAGGUGUAGCCUUAGGUUCAUGUUGAUCUCCAUUUAUUGACGAUAAGAAUCUGAACGAUCUCCCAGAAGACCUAGAGGCGCCAUCAAUAAUGUUGUUUUCCCAGGUGUGCAGCAGAUCAGUUCCACAAAUUUCAGUCUGUACCCUUUUUUAUUUUUCCAACUUUUUGAAUGUCAAAUAUGGAUUUGACUUUUUUAGCAUUAUGUAUUUAAUGUCGAAUAUGGAUAUGCAAUUUAAUUUAUGGAUUUAAUGUAUGUCAAAUAUUGUAAGUUUUUUGCUUUUAUGAUUUUUGGUUUUAAAAUA